RNAcentral lists this ribosomal RNA (1500 nucleotides) under metagenome. RNAcentral's name for it is "bacterial SSU rRNA". It matches the Rfam family "Bacterial small subunit ribosomal RNA". The record is from RNAcentral.
AGAGUUUGAUCAUGGCUCAGAUUGAACGCUGGCGGCAGGCCUAACACAUGCAAGUCGAACGGUAACAGGAAGCAGCUUGCUGCUUCGCUGACGAGUGGCGGACGGGUGAGUAAUGUCUGGGAAGCUGCCUGAUGGAGGGGGAUAACUACUGGAGACGGUAGCUAAUACCGCAUAAUGUCGCAAGACCAAAGAGGGGGACCUUCGGGCCUCUUGCCAUCGGAUGUGCCCAGAUGGGAUUAGCUUGUUGGUGGGGUAACGGCUCACCAAGGCGACGAUCCCUAGCUGGUCUGAGAGGAUGACCAGCCACACUGGAACUGAGACACGGUCCAGACUCCUACGGGAGGCAGCAGUGGGGAAUAUUGCACAAUGGGCGCAAGCCUGAUGCAGCCAUGCCGCGUGUAUGAAGAAGGCCUUCGGGUUGUAAAGUACUUUCAGCGGGGAGGAAGGGAGUAAAGUUAAUACCUUUGCUCAUUGACGUUACCCGCAGAAGAAGCACCGGCUAACUCCGUGCCAGCAGCCGCGGUAAUACGGAGGGUGCAAGCGUUAAUCGGAAUUACUGGGCGUAAAGCGCACGCAGGCGGUUUGUUAAGUCAGAUGUGAAAUCCCCGGGCUCAACCUGGGAACUGCAUCUGAUACUGGCAAGCUUGAGUCUCGUAGAGGGGGGUAGAAUUCCAGGUGUAGCGGUGAAAUGCGUAGAGAUCUGGAGGAAUACCGGUGGCGAAGGCGGCCCCCUGGACGAAGACUGACGCUCAGGUGCGAAAGCGUGGGGAGCAAACAGGAUUAGAUACCCUGGUAGUCCACGCCGUAAACGAUGUCGACUUGGAGGUUGUGCCCUUGAGGCGUGGCUUCCGGAGCUAACGCGUUAAGUCGACCGCCUGGGGAGUACGGCCGCAAGGUUAAAACUCAAAUGAAUUGACGGGGGCCCGCACAAGCGGUGGAGCAUGUGGUUUAAUUCGAUGCAACGCGAAGAACCUUACCUGGUCUUGACAUCCACGGAAGUUUUCAGAGAUGAGAAUGUGCCUUCGGGAACCGUGAGACAGGUGCUGCAUGGCUGUCGUCAGCUCGUGUUGUGAAAUGUUGGGUUAAGUCCCGCAACGAGCGCAACCCUUAUCCUUUGUUGCCAGCGGUCCGGCCGGGAACUCAAAGGAGACUGCCAGUGAUAAACUGGAGGAAGGUGGGGAUGACGUCAAGUCAUCAUGGCCCUUACGACCAGGGCUACACACGUGCUACAAUGGCGCAUACAAAGAGAAGCGACCUCGCGAGAGCAAGCGGACCUCAUAAAGUGCGUCGUAGUCCGGAUUGGAGUCUGCAACUCGACUCCAUGAAGUCGGAAUCGCUAGUAAUCGUGGAUCUGAAUGCCACGGUGAAUACGUUCCCGGGCCUUGUACACACCGCCCGUCACACCAUGGGAGUGGGUUGCAAAAGAAGUAGGUAGCUUAACCUUCGGGAGGGCGCUUACCACUUUGUGAUUCAUGACUGGGGUGAAGUCGUAACAAGGUA